Molecule: ribosomal RNA, 253 nt
Filed under: uncultured bacterium
Lineage: Bacteria
Description: partial 16S ribosomal RNA
Rfam family: Bacterial small subunit ribosomal RNA
Source: RNAcentral
UACAGAGGUCUCAAGCGUUGUUCGGAUUCAUUGGGCGUAAAGGGUGCGUAGGCGGCGCGGUAAGUCGGGUGUGAAAUCUCGGGGCUUAACUCCGAAACUGCAUUCGAUACUGCCGUGCUUGAGGACUGGAGAGGAGACUGGAAUUUACGGUGUAGCGGUGAAAUGCGUAGAUAUCGUAAGGAAGACCAGUGGCGAAGGCGGGUCUCUGGACAGUUCCUGACGCUGAGGCACGGAGGCCAGGGGAGCAAACGGG